GUUUGUCCGUGAGAGAGGCGGGGAGAGACUCUGGCGAAGGUGAGGAGUGGAUCCUCGCUGUGGAGACCUGGACUGCGCGAGAGACGCUGUUAGUUCUGUGCACCCUGCUCUGCAAUUGGCCACCAUGGAGAUGAGCUAAUCUGGAGAGGCGAGGAAUAAGGGCGAAUUUUGUACCACGUGGAGGGCGCUGUCCUCAGAGGGCACCGCCUCCAUCUGCAUCAAAUCACCGCAAGCACCUCCAUAUUCCGUCACUAAGGCCAGAACGGCGGGGAAUGAGGCCUCCGAAUUUGGGUGAUGAACAGGCGUCGCCACCCCACGCCAGCAGGGGGCGGCAUAAGGGUAGCCGGUUCGUGAAGACCCGGUCCACGCCGCCUGAGACCCCCCUCCCACCUUCUCGGAGCUCCGGACCCCAGCAAGCCUCCCGAGGAAGAUGCUGAAGGAAAGCGCUGGUGCGUUCACGGAGGAUCGCAGCUUCCCAGGUCCGCGCUGCCAGGGUCACCUUGUAGGGGAAGUGUGGCCACUGAAUGGAGAACUUGGCAACUUGUGAGGAGACGGAGCAUUGUAGGAGAGGAGCGCAGGGAGGGGGAUGGAUGCCUACGGGAUGGAGGAGAGCACCGGCCUCGCUGAAACGGGGGCUUCCAUGCAAAAGAAUCGACGAGA
Molecule: long non-coding RNA, 660 nt
Organism: Lethenteron reissneri (Far Eastern brook lamprey)
Lineage: Eukaryota; Metazoa; Chordata; Hyperoartia; Petromyzontiformes; Petromyzontidae
Source: RefSeq, a predicted model, not a curated record